AGUCAUUCAGGGUAGGUGGGGCAGUUGAGUGUCAGUGGCCACUAGUCAUUCAGGGUAGGUGGGGCAGUUGAGUGUCAGUGGCCACUAGUCAUUCAGGGUAGGUGGGGCAGUUGAGUGUCAGUGGCCACUAGUCAUUCAGGGUAGGUGGGGCAGUUGAGUGUCAGUGGCCACUAGUCAUUCAGGGUAGGUGGGGCAGUUGAGUGUCAGUGGCCACUAGUCAUUCAGGGUAGGUGGGGCAGUUGAGUGUCAGUGGCCACUAGUCAUUCAGGGUAGGUGGGGCAGUUGAGUGUCAGUGGCCACUAGUCAUUCAGGGUAGGUGGGGCAGUUGAGUGUCAGUGGCCACUAGUCAUUCAGGGUAGGUGGGGCAGUUGAGUGUCAGUGGCCACUAGUCAUUCAGGGUAGGUGGGGCAGUUGAGUGUCAGUGGCCACUAGUCAUUCAGGGUAGGUGGGGCAGUUGAGUGUCAGUGGCCACUAGUCAUUCAGGGUAGGUGGGGCAGUUGAGUGUCAGUGGCCA
Oncorhynchus keta (chum salmon) is the source of this 514-nucleotide long non-coding RNA. RefSeq lists it as uncharacterized. Lineage: Eukaryota; Metazoa; Chordata; Actinopteri; Salmoniformes; Salmonidae. The transcript has 3 exons. The record is from RefSeq and is a predicted model, not a curated record.